Molecule: long non-coding RNA, 671 nt
Filed under: Malus domestica (apple)
Lineage: Eukaryota; Viridiplantae; Streptophyta; Magnoliopsida; Rosales; Rosaceae
Description: long non-coding RNA (MDOM_LNC016704)
Source: RNAcentral
CUCCCUUCUUCUUUUCUUCUUCUUUCUGUUUUCUUUUCUUUUUCUUCUGUCUCCCUCUCGGCUCUCUCUCUCAUAUCUCCCUCAUCUCUCUUCUCUGCACCGCAGCACGCACGCACCCAUCUCCUCUGCUCCUCCCUCACCUUCCUCCUCGUCGAACCCACAUGCACACCAUCGCACCUGCUCCGGCGAGUUCCUUCUAUUUCUCCGGUUAGGUAAGCUUCGGGUUUUUCUUUUUAUGUUCUAGAUCGAAGCUUAGAUGUGAAAUUGAAGUUAUAUCUCGUCUUUUUGCAAGGUUUUUGGGAUGAAAUCGACUCGGGAUAGGCACACCCAUCUCCGGCGAGGCCGUCGGUGUCGUCGCACUUUCCGAACACCUCCGGCCGUUUCAUGGCAAACGGACGUUAUAAAAACGUUCCUCUCAUCCUCUAUUUCAUGUUCAUACCUAGAUCGGAGUCUAGGGGUUGUUUUACAGUCGGCCGGAGCUGUAGAAGCUCCGGCGUUCGUCUCCGACUUCCACAGUUCCGAUAAUUUCGCGAUAAUAUCGCGAUAUUAUCGAUAUUAUCGAUAUUAUCGCGAAAUUAUGACGAAAACCCCUUGGAUACCACUUAGAAUAUCGGGUUAACGAAAAUUCGAUAAUAUCGGCGAUAUAUCGCCGAUAUUAUCGAUAUUUUCUU